GUUUGCGCCAGUCUGAGCCACGCAUGCGCAGCGAGUGCGGGCGCAGCUUCGCCGUGGUUUCGGUUGAGAAUUCUUGGCAACGUCUCGCUCGGUGAACAGGCAGCAGACCGUCGGGCAACGGCAGUUUCCACAAUGUCUGGAGGAUUAUUUUAACGGAGAUGGAAGUGAGCGGAAACCCUGGAGGAGCGAAAGAGUUCGUAGACAUAGGCUGCUUUGAUCAAGGAAGACAGUUGGAGAGAGGACUGCAGAUUGAAUCAAAGCCAUCUCCAUCCUUAAGGAAGCUGCCCUAUUCUGAGGCUAUAAGGCACGGCAUGACCAGGCCUGGCACAGUAUGGUUGGUUAAACAGAUGGCACAGUGCAGAGUGAAAAACCGGGCCGCCUCUGCCUACACAGUGACAUCAGACGUCACCACAAGCUUCGCCUGCAUAGCUGAGGGCAGAAAAGGUCUGCCUGCAUUGCUUUGACAUACCAGUGAGCAGCACCUCCUC
Oreochromis aureus is the source of this 488-nucleotide long non-coding RNA. The record is from Ensembl. Lineage: Eukaryota; Metazoa; Chordata; Actinopteri; Cichliformes; Cichlidae.